UUUAGACAAAGUAUCAUUCUUUGUUGGCUUCCAGUUGCCAACGAAGGCAUCGUGAGCUGAAGGCUGUCCCUUUUUUACUGGGUUCAUCCACUGCCACAUUGCAGCUUGGAAUGCCAAGGUUGCGUUUUGUUCAAUGUAUUCGGGAUGAUUCAACAGAUCUACCUUCAAUGCUUCGCCUAUUUUUCCGUAGUUGUAGUUCCAGUAGAUAGGCAAG
This 214-nucleotide unclassified non-coding RNA is filed under the name Hevea brasiliensis (rubber tree). The record is from RNAcentral. Lineage: Eukaryota; Viridiplantae; Streptophyta; Magnoliopsida; Malpighiales; Euphorbiaceae.